CUCAUUUCAGAAUUUUUGUUUCUUUUAAAAUUCAGUUCAAGUGCCUGGCGGUGGUGGUGCACACCUUUAAUCCCAGCACUCGGGAAGCAGAGGAAGAUGUAUUUCUUGAGCUUCCAUCUGGCUGACUGACACAUCCAGGCAUCGGCUACUGACUUCAAUCUGUGAGACAUGGACCUGCUGAAGGCUGAUGGUGGACCAAUCCAGCCAAAAACGUAAUUAUUUCCUGUCUCUACAGCUAGGUCAGACAACCACAUACUUCUGAUAAAUGCCUGGGUUCCCUCCUUACCUUUGACUAGCCAGGGUCCUGAACACCUGUGUCCCGUUUCAGCUUGAAGCAGUUAUGGAGAAGAAUGCAUCGUCUUAUGCUCCCUGCUCUCAGGACAGGCUAUAGGCCAAGUUAAAAGUGGAACCCCCGGCAUAGGGAACUGACUUGGCUACCUAAUGCUCAUUGAUAUACCAAGAAACUGGACCCAAUACUGCAAUAAGACAAGACACUUGACCUUCUUUAUGCAAAACAAAAAGGUAUUAAAUAA
Molecule: long non-coding RNA, 533 nt
Organism: Peromyscus eremicus (cactus mouse)
Lineage: Eukaryota; Metazoa; Chordata; Mammalia; Rodentia; Cricetidae
Exons: 2
Source: RefSeq, a predicted model, not a curated record